This is a small nuclear RNA of Bos grunniens (domestic yak), 107 nucleotides long. NCBI's taxonomy places the organism in Eukaryota, Metazoa, Chordata, Mammalia, Artiodactyla, Bovidae. The record is from Ensembl.
GUGCUCACUUCGGCAGCACAUAUACUAAAAUUGGAACGAUACAGAGAAGAUUAGCAUGGCCCCUGCACAAGAAUGACAUGCAAAUUUAUGAAGUGUUCCAUAUUUUU